CUGUCGUCAGCUCGUGCCGUGAGGUGUGGGUUAAGUCCCGCAACGAGCGCAACCCCUACUGCCAGUUACUAACAGGUAACGCUGAGGACUCUGGCGGAGCUGCCGUGACAAACGGAGGAAGGUGGGGAUGACGUCAAGUCAUCAUGGCCCUAUGUCCAGGGCUACACACGUGCUACAAUGGGCGAUACAGAGUGACGCGAAGCCGCGAGGUGGAGCAAAUCGCAGAAAUCGCUCUCAGUUCGGAUUGGAGUCUGAAACCCGACUCCAUGAAGGUGGAAUCGCUAGUAAUCGCGCAUCAGCAUGGCCGCGGUCGAAUACGUUCCCGGGCCUU
This 331-nucleotide ribosomal RNA is filed under the name uncultured Spirochaetaceae bacterium. RNAcentral describes it as "bacterial SSU rRNA". It matches the Rfam family "Bacterial small subunit ribosomal RNA", at positions 1049 to 1382 of the family's 1533-position model. The record is from RNAcentral. Lineage: Bacteria; Pseudomonadati; Spirochaetota; Spirochaetia; Spirochaetales; Spirochaetaceae.